Molecule: ribosomal RNA, 468 nt
Filed under: uncultured bacterium
Lineage: Bacteria
Description: partial 16S ribosomal RNA
Rfam family: Bacterial small subunit ribosomal RNA
Source: RNAcentral
GACGAACGCUGGCGGCGUGCUUAACACAUGCAAGUCGAACGGAAAGGCCCUGCUUUUGUGGGGUGCUCGAGUGGCGAACGGGUGAGUAACACGUGAGUAACCUGCCCUUGACUUUGGGAUAACUUCAGGAAACUGGGGCUAAUACCGGAUAGGAGCUCCUGCUGCAUGGUGGGGGUUGGAAAGUUUCGGCGGUUGGGGAUGGACUCGCGGCUUAUCAGCUUGUUGGUGGGGUAGUGGCUUACCAAGGCUUUGACGGGUAGCCGGCCUGAGAGGGUGACCGGCCACAUUGGGACUGCGGUACGGACCAGACUCCUACGGGAGGCAGCAGUGGGGAGUAUUGCACAAUGGGCGGAAGCCUGAUGCAGCAACGCCGCGUGCGGGAUGACGGCCUUCGGGUUGUAAACCGCUUUCGCCUGUGACGAAGCGUGAGUGACGGUAAUGGGUAAAGAAGCACCGGCUAACUACGUG